GAUGAACGCUGGCGGCGUGCCUAAUACAUGCAAGUCGAGCGAAUGGAUUAAGAGCUUGCUCUUAUGAAGUUAGCGGCGGACGGGUGAGUAACACGUGGGUAACCUGCCCAUAAGACUGGGAUAACUCCGGGAAACCGGGGCUAAUACCGGAUAACAUUUUGAACCGCAUGGUUCGAAAUUGAAAGACGGCUUCGGCUGUCACUUAUGGAUGGACACGCGUCGCAUUAGCUAGUUGGUGAGGUAACGGCUCACCAAGGCAACGAUGCGUAGCCCACCUCAGAGGGUGAUCGGCCACACUGGGACUGAGACACGGCCCAGACUCCUACGGGAGGCAGCAGUAGGGAAUCUUCCGCAAUGGACGAAAGUCUGACGGAGCAACGCCGCGUGAGUGAUGAAGGCUUUCGGGUCGUAAAGCUCUGUUGUUAGGGAAGAACAAGUGCUAGUUGAAUAAGCUGGCACCUUGACGGUACCUAACCAGAAAGCCACGGCUAACUACGUGCCAGCAGCCGCAGUAA
RNAcentral lists this ribosomal RNA (515 nucleotides) under uncultured bacterium. RNAcentral describes it as "partial 16S ribosomal RNA". It matches the Rfam family "Bacterial small subunit ribosomal RNA", at positions 28 to 523 of the family's 1533-position model. The record is from RNAcentral.